Molecule: non-coding RNA, 1302 nt
Organism: Pelobates cultripes (western spadefoot toad)
Lineage: Eukaryota; Metazoa; Chordata; Amphibia; Anura; Pelobatidae
Source: the annotation of a GenBank genome assembly
AUUUAAGAUGGCGAUUUGUCUUUGUCCUGGAGAUAAUUGAAUUACUUCCCAAUUAUCUCCAGGGCAGAGGGGAGGAAACCAUAUUGCAUUGUGGGAAAAGGUUACAUCUGUAUGUCUGAAAUGACCCCAUGUCUAUCUGUCAUUACAGUCUCCCAUUUGGUCCCCUAGGGGAGUGUCCACCAAGUGGGAGACCUGCAUAAAUACGGGCAGGUAGUCCACAGUAAAGCCAGAUCCUGUUUGACCCUCAAUGCGGAGCUUCUGUCUCGUUAUUGGGGGGGAUUUCUUAUUUGCGCUUAGAGACUGUUUAUUGGAACCGAAAGCUGCUUGGUGGAUAUCGUUGUUCGGCGGCUAGCAGCAGUUCGUGGAUUUCCGUUCGGGAGUUUGGAGCCUUUCACGGAUCCCGGUCGGGAGAUUACCGCUUCCCCUGAUGGUGGUUCGUAUACUGCAGUCUAUGCGAAUGGAGUUAUUGGUAUUGCGAAAGGGGAAGGCUAACUAAACGGCGGUUUCGCUUAAAGACACCAGGGGUGUCUUAACAAUUGGUCGCAAGCGACGGGAUGAAUCCGACAGCACAGAAGGUCAGCUACACAUCCCGAUUUGGUGAAAAGAAAUGCAGUAUGAGGAGUUAAGGCGUGCUACCCUUAAGGACAUACUUGAACGCCAAGGACGGACAGCAAGUAAUUUGAAAAAUAGAGAAAUUAUUGCUUUGCUACUGGAGAUGGAUGCAACACAGGGAAUGGAGAGAGCUAAUGUGCCCAGCAUUUUGGAUUUAACCCUCGAGGAAAUACAAUUUAACCGGGCAGUGCAAAUAAGGCUGGCACACUUUGGCCCCAACCCCUCAGCAGACAUUAUGGAACGUGCAGGCAGCAGUGAUGGCACACCAGGCGCUCCGGGAAAGAGGAGCUGCAGCAGUAGAGGUACCCAAUAACAAUUUUGGAAAGAAAAAGGUACCCUUUGCUGCAUUUAAAUUUUUUGUUGAAACAGAGGUAGAGAUUGAUGGGUCACCAUCCUCUCUGGGAAAUUAUCCGACCGGGCUAGUGAAGCAUUUUGGGCCAUCCCAGAGGAGGAGAUUACCAGCUACCGGGCAGUGCAAGAUGCGCUCCUAGCCAGGUAUGCGGUGACCCCAGAAGCUUACCGACGACGCUUUAGGGAAACUAGCAAGCAGGUUGGUGACUCUUAUGUAGAAUGGGCCUGCAGGGUCCACCGUACCGCAGCCCACUGGAUGGCAGGAUGCCAAACGGUAACUGGGGAGGAAGUGCUGCAGGUGUUCUUGCUGGAACAUUGCUUCGAUAGAUUACCUACCGG